RNAcentral lists this ribosomal RNA (419 nucleotides) under uncultured bacterium. RNAcentral describes it as "bacterial SSU rRNA". It matches the Rfam family "Bacterial small subunit ribosomal RNA", at positions 358 to 769 of the family's 1533-position model. The record is from RNAcentral.
GGAAUAUUGCACAAUGGGCGCAAGCCUGAUGCAGCCAUGCCGCGUGUAUGAAGAAGGCCUUCGGGUUGUAAAGUACUUUCAGCGGGGAGGAAGGCGGUGAGGUUAAUAACCUCGCCGAUUGACGUUAUCCGCAGAAGAAGCACCGGCUAACUCCGUGCCAGCAGCCGCGGUAAUACGGAGGGUGCAAGCGUUAAUCGGAAUUACUGGGCGUAAAGCGCACGCAGGCAGUCUGUUAAGUCAGAUGAGAAAUCCCCGGGCUUAACCUGGGAACUGCAUUUGAAACUGGCAGGAUUGAGUCUCGUAGAGGGGGGUAGAAUUCCAGGUGUAGCGGUGAAAUGCGUAGAGGUAUGGAGGAAUACCGGUGGCGAAGGCGGCCCCCUGGACGAAGACUGACGCUCAGGUGCGAAAGCGUGGGGAGC